AUCAGCCUCACCUGGGAGCUUGUUAAAAAUGCAGACUCUCAGCUCCUGGCCCCAAAUCUGCACUUUUAACAAGAUCCCCAGGAGGUUGGU
This 90-nucleotide microRNA precursor is filed under the name Marmota monax (woodchuck). The record is from RNAcentral. Lineage: Eukaryota; Metazoa; Chordata; Mammalia; Rodentia; Sciuridae.